GCGGAUGUGGUGAAAUUGGUAUACACGCCAGACUUAGGAUCUGGUGCCUUACGGUGUGGAAGUUCGAGUCUUCUCAUCCGCACCA
Molecule: transfer RNA, 85 nt
Filed under: Aliarcobacter cryaerophilus
Lineage: Bacteria; Pseudomonadati; Campylobacterota; Epsilonproteobacteria; Campylobacterales; Arcobacteraceae
Description: Arcobacter cryaerophilus tRNA-Leu
Rfam family: tRNA
About the family: Transfer RNA (tRNA) molecules are approximately 80 nucleotides in length.
Source: RNAcentral